UACAGAGGUCUCAAGCGUUGUUCGGAUUCAUUGGGCGUAAAGGGUGUGUAGGUGGCGCGCUAAGUCGGGUGUGAAAUUUCGGAGCUUAACUCCGAAACUGCAUUCGAUACUGCGGUGCUUGAGGACUGGAGAGGAGACUGGAAUUCAUGGUGUAGCGGUGAAAUGCGCAGAUAUCAGGAGGAACACCGGUGGCGAAGGCGGGUCUCUGGGCCGAAACUGACGCUGAGGAGCGAAAGCGUGGGGAGCGAACAGG
Molecule: ribosomal RNA, 253 nt
Filed under: uncultured bacterium
Lineage: Bacteria
Description: partial 16S ribosomal RNA
Rfam family: Bacterial small subunit ribosomal RNA
Source: RNAcentral